This is a long non-coding RNA of Brachypodium distachyon (stiff brome), 960 nucleotides long. RefSeq lists it as uncharacterized. The record is from RefSeq and is a predicted model, not a curated record. NCBI's taxonomy places the organism in Eukaryota, Viridiplantae, Streptophyta, Magnoliopsida, Poales, Poaceae. The transcript has 3 exons.
GCACCGCCCGCAGGUACCGGGCUCGCAUCCGCGACGCCUGCCGCUCCGCCGUCCGAGACCAGCAAUACCCCUCUGCAAGCACACACACGUAUACGUAGUGUGUCAGAGUUUCAGUUCAGGCAAACAUUUGCUGUGCACCAAGGCCAGCGCCAAGAAGACGAGGUUCCUCGCGUUCUGAUAUAUCAAAACGAAAUUGCAGGUUAAUCAACCAUUCAUGGAUUUGGAUGGAUAGGAAUGAGGUUGAGCCGGCGUGUGCGUGCCUCGUUGAUCUUGGAGCUGAACUCGUUGAGGACGUCGGGGCCGCCGCCGAGGUCGUUGAAGAUGCGGCUGGUGAUAAACAGCAUCACCGGCGUCGACAUGCCGUCGCCCACGGCGCCCAACAGGCCCAGCGCCAUCAGCGCCACGUCAGCCGCGUCCGCAUGCAUGAACACCGACGCCAACGACGACCCGAACGCCGGCGCCGCCGCAGGGCCGCCCUUCUUCUCGCCGCCCAUGUCGUUGUUCCUACGAAGCGCUUAGUCGUUUGGUUGGUAGCCUCCUGCCUGUGAGGCUAGUCCGCCGGAGGAAGGGAGAGAUGCCCUGAGGCUUAUAUAGGCGGGUCGCCAGCAGGGGCAUGCGCCAACGAGCAAGCAAGCGCUGGCAAUUUUGAUUUGCUACUCAUGCAAAUCACAGUUUUAUCUUGCUCGUGCAUUCGUGUGUACCGGCAGUUAGACAUGCAACCUUUUUAUAUUUAUUUAUGAAUUUCUUCAAAAGAAUUGCAGGGGUUUCUACCUUGUUGAAAUGUACACGUCCCUAAUUUUUUUUGUAUACUUUUUGUUCCUCAACUGUUGUAACCGGACACCGAUGAUUCCUCGCCGUAUGUGAACCGGUUUCGCGGUUGUCCUCCGGUGUAAAUGCUAUUGUACUUUGUGUGUUAUCCAAUAAUUCAAUCAAAGUAGAAGUAUGGAUAUUAGCUAAUCA